GCUGGAAAUUGAUAAUUGAUAAACCUUGAUGGCAUUACAUUGAGAAAAUCUAUCACUAAGAUCGUUCCAAAUCAAUGGAUCCAUGUCGGAAUAGAUGAUGUAAUCAUCAAUGUCAUGGGUAAUGGAGUUAAAAAGCCAAGACAAUAAUAUGGUAUUACACCAUCUUGUGUCAAAAGAAGAGUAGACUCAUCUGAUUGUGGAAUCAAGCCAUAGACAAGUUGGAU
RNAcentral lists this long non-coding RNA (224 nucleotides) under Elaeis guineensis (African oil palm). RNAcentral's name for it is "long non-coding RNA (EGUI_LNC068358)". The record is from RNAcentral. Lineage: Eukaryota; Viridiplantae; Streptophyta; Magnoliopsida; Arecales; Arecaceae.